Molecule: ribosomal RNA, 480 nt
Filed under: uncultured bacterium
Lineage: Bacteria
Description: bacterial SSU rRNA
Rfam family: Bacterial small subunit ribosomal RNA
Source: RNAcentral
UAUGAACGCUGGCGGCAUGCCUUACACAUGCAAGUCGAACGGCAGCGGACCUUCGGGUGCCGGCGAGUGGCGAACGGGUGAGUAAUAUAUCGGAACGUACCUUCAGUGGGGAUAACGUAGGGAAACUUACGCUAAUACCGCAUACGACCUACGGGUGAAAGUGGGGGACCUUCGGGCCUCACGCGAUGAGAUGAGCCGAUGCCGGAUUAGCUAGUUGGCGGGGUAAAGGCCCACCAAGGCGACGAUCCGUAGCUGGUCUGAGAGGAUGAUCAGCCACACUGGAACUGAGACACGGUCCAGACUCCUACGGGAGGCAGCAGUGGGGAAUAUUGGACAAUGGGGGCAACCCUGAUCCAGCCAUGCCGCGUGUGUGAAGAAGGCCUUCGGGUUGUAAAGCACUUUUGUUGGGGAAGAAACCGGCCGGGUUAAUACCCUGGUUGAAUGACGGUACCCAAAGAAUAAGCACCGGCUAACUUCGUG